RNAcentral lists this ribosomal RNA (443 nucleotides) under uncultured bacterium. RNAcentral describes it as "partial 16S ribosomal RNA". It matches the Rfam family "Bacterial small subunit ribosomal RNA", at positions 338 to 795 of the family's 1533-position model. The record is from RNAcentral.
CCUACGGGUGGCAGCAGUGGGGAAUAUUGGGCAAUGGGCGCAAGCCUGACCCAGCCACGCCGCGUGAAGGAAGAAGGCUUUCGGGUUUUAAACUUCUUUUCUCAGGGACGAAAAAAGUGACGGUACCUGAGGAAUAAGCCACGGCUAACUACGUGCCAGCGGCCGCGGUAAUACGUAGGUGGCAAGCGUUAUCCGGAUUUAUUGGGUGUAAAGGGCGUGUAGGCGGGAGCGUAAGUCAGAUGUGAAAACUAAGGGCUCAACCCUGAGCCUGCAUUUGAAACUGGGUUUCUUGAGUGCUGGAGAGGUAAGCGGAAUUCGGUGUGUAGCGGUGAAAUGCGUAGAUAUAAGGAGGAACACCAGUGGCGAAGGCGGACUGCUGGACAGUAACUGACGCUGAGGCGCGAAAGUGUGGGGAGCAAACAGGAUUAGAUACCCCAGUAGUC